AAGUUGUAUGGAAGAAAAGAGGGUUGGCAUUCCUGGGAUAGAAAUGGAAAAUGUCUUCGUGACCAAGGAACACAUACAUGAUUAAGGAGUGACCACGUGCUUUG
This is a small nuclear RNA of Balaenoptera musculus (blue whale), 104 nucleotides long. The record is from Ensembl. Lineage: Eukaryota; Metazoa; Chordata; Mammalia; Artiodactyla; Balaenopteridae.